AUACGUAGGGGGCAAGCGUUAUCCGGAUUUACUGGGUGUAAAGGGCGUGUAGGCGGAGAUGCAAGUCAGGAGUGAAAUCUAGGGGCUCAACCCCUAAACUGCUUUUGAAACUGUAUCCCUUGAGUAUCGGAGAGGCAGGUGGAAUUCCUAGUGUAGCGGUGAAAUGCGUAGAUAUUAGGAGGAACACCAGUGGCGAAGGCGGCCUGCUGGACGACAACUGACGCUGAGGCGCGAAAGCGUGGGGAGCAAACAGGAUUAGAUACCCUGGUAGUCCACGCUGUAAACGAUGAAUACUAGGUGUGGGGGGACUGACCCCCUCCGUGCCGCAGUUAACACAAUAAGUAUUCCACCUGGGGAGUACGAUCGCAAGAUUGAAACUCAAAGGAAUUGACGGGG
This 396-nucleotide ribosomal RNA is filed under the name uncultured bacterium. Its description in RNAcentral is "partial 16S ribosomal RNA". It matches the Rfam family "Bacterial small subunit ribosomal RNA", at positions 523 to 918 of the family's 1533-position model. The record is from RNAcentral.